Molecule: ribosomal RNA, 98 nt
Filed under: uncultured bacterium
Lineage: Bacteria
Description: partial 16S ribosomal RNA
Rfam family: Bacterial small subunit ribosomal RNA
Source: RNAcentral
CCACCGCCCGUCACAUCACGAAAGUCGGCUGCACUUGAAGUCGUCUUGCCAACCCGCAAGGGGGGCGGGCGCCGAUGGUGUGGUCGAUGAUUGGGGUG